AGGUGGCGAGCGUUAUCCGGAUUUACUGGGCGUAAAGGGUGCGUAGGCGGUCGUUUAAGUGGGAUGUUAAAUACUACGGCUCAACUGGGGUGAUGCAUUCCAAACUGGUUAUCUAGAGUGCAGGAGAGGAGAGUGGAAUUCCUAGUGUAGCGGUGAAAUGCGUAGAGAUUAGGAGGAACACCAGUGGCGAAGGCGGCUCUCUGGACUGUAACUGACGCUGAGGCUCGAAAGCGUGGGGAGCAA
RNAcentral lists this ribosomal RNA (243 nucleotides) under uncultured bacterium. RNAcentral's name for it is "partial 16S ribosomal RNA". It matches the Rfam family "Bacterial small subunit ribosomal RNA", at positions 529 to 771 of the family's 1533-position model. The record is from RNAcentral.